Molecule: ribosomal RNA, 433 nt
Filed under: uncultured bacterium
Lineage: Bacteria
Description: partial 16S ribosomal RNA
Rfam family: Bacterial small subunit ribosomal RNA
Source: RNAcentral
GACGAACGCUGGCGGCGUGCCUAACACAUGCAAGUCGAACGGAACGUUCGGGUCUCGGUGCGCAGGGCUGCGUACCGAGUGGGGACCUGCCCUUAGGUUCGGAAUACCUCACCUAGGGGUGUCCUCAUGACAGAUGAUGUCUUACCACCAAAGAUUUCUCGCCUUUGGAUGGGCGCUCGUUGGAUUCGCUAGUUGGUAGGGUAAAAGCCUACCAAGGCGAUGUUGCAUAGCUGGUCGGAGAGGAUGAUCAGCCACACUGGGACUGAGACACGGCCCAGACUCGUACGGGAGGCAGGAGUGGGGAAUAGUGGACAAUGGGCGAAAGCCUGAUCCAGCAAUGCCGCGGGAGUGAUGAAGGCCGUAGGGUUGUAAAGCUCUUUGACCCGGGAUGAUAAUGACAGUACCGGGUGAAUAAGCUCCGGCUAACUCCGUG